This 1976-nucleotide long non-coding RNA is filed under the name Homo sapiens (human). RNAcentral describes it as "AHI1 divergent transcript". The record is from RNAcentral. Lineage: Eukaryota; Metazoa; Chordata; Mammalia; Primates; Hominidae.
GAAGACCGCGGCCCCGUCCCCGCGCCUCCACCGCCUUCUUCCAGGAGGAGGGGCCGUGCGGCGCCUGCCCGGGGGCCCUCAGGCCGCAGGCGGGCGCGAGCUUCAGGGAACUUAGGGGGCUCCCGCCUCCCCGGCCACGCGAGCGGGAACAGUCUCCUCCACUCGGAGCGCCACUCAUCAUGCCUUACCUGGAUGAUGCAGAAGUCCCUGGAAACAGAAGGUCUCACCCUUCUUUAUCUUUCUCAUGGCUUUCCAAGGCUCUUUAUCAUGUUACUUUCCUGCUCAGAAUUCUUUAAUGACUUGCCUCAAUGACCAGAUACAUGUGAUCUACAGUCAGCCUUCCAGCCUCAUCAUUCCUCUUCCAUUUCCUCCCCAGAAACACUGUACUUUAUGAAGCUCCUCCAAGACAUUAUAGAUCCAGACUCCUGUGCCUGACCACUGCCCAUGGCCAACUCUCUGCUGAUGACUGGACUUGACUACACAAGUUGUUGGAAAAAGAAAAAAACAAUUUCAAAACUCAUAUGGGACCACUGAUGACCACCAAUAGCUAAAGCAAUCCCAAGAAAGAAGGACAAAGUUGGAGGCCUCACACUUCUUGAUUUCAAAUUACAUUACAACGCUGCAGUAAUUAAGAGUAUAUACUAUCAUAAAGAUGGACAUACUGCCCAGUGGAACAGAAUGGAGAACCCAGAAAUAAAUUCACACAUAUAUGGUCAACUGAUCUUUGACAAGGGUGCCAAGAAUACACAACGGAGAAAGGCUUUUCUCUUCAACAAAUGGUACUGGGAAACACACAAAAGAAUGAAAUUGUACCUUUCUAUUAUAUACAAAAUCAAAUCAAAUAUAUUAGAAACUUAAACCUAAGACCCAAAACUGUAAAACUCCAAGAAAAACAUAGGGAAAAACUUUAUGACUUUGUCUUGGCAAUGACUUCAUGGAUAUAACACGAAAAACACUAUCAACAAAAACAAAAACAACAUGAGACUACAUCAAACUAAAAAGCUCCUGUGCAGCAAAGGAAACAAUCAACGGAGUGAAAAGGCAAUUGAUGAAAUGAAAGAAAUAUCCAUGAACCAUCUAUCUGAUAAAGGACUAAUCUCCAAAAUAUAUAAGGAACUUCUAUAAUUCAAUAGCAAAAAAACCACAUGACCUGAUUUAAAAAUGAGCUAAGGUUUUGAAUAGACAUUUCUCCAAAGAAGAUACAAAUGGCCAACAAAUAUAAGAAAAAAUGCUCAAUGUUACAAAUCAUUUGGAAAAUGCAAAUAAAAACCACCAUGAGAUUUUACUUCACACCUGUCCAGAUGGAUAUCAUCAAAAAAAAAAAAAGGACAAAAUGUACUGAUGAGGAUGUGGAGAAAUAGGAACGCUGGCACACUGUUGGUGGAAAUGCAAAAUAGUGAAGCUGCUACAGAAAAUACUAUGAAGAUUCCUCAAAAAAUUAAAAAUAGAACUUCCAUAUAUAUGAUUCAGCUAUUCCACUUCUGGAUAUUUAUCAAAAGAGUUGAAACCAGGAUCUUAAAGAGAUAUCAGCAGCACUAUUCGCAAUAGUCAAGAUGCAGAAAUAACCUAAAUGUCCAUUGACAGAUGAAUAGAUACAGAAUAUGCGAUAUAUACAUUGAAAUAUUAUCAGCCUUAAAAAGGAAGGACAUUCUAUAAUAUGCAAUGACAUGAUGAACCUGGAGGACAUCAAGCUAAGUGAAAUAAGCCAGUCACAGAAAGACCAAUACUGCAUUAUUCCACUUAUAUGAAGUAUCCAAAAUAGUCAGAUUCAUAGAAUCAAAGAAUGAAAUGGUGUUUGCCAGGGAAUAGCAGGAGGGGGGAAUAGAGAGUUAUGAAUCAACAGGCAUAAGGCUCCAGUCAAGCAAGAUGAAUGAGCUCUAGAGAUUUGCUGUACAACAUUGUACCUAGAGUCAACAAUACUGUAUUGUCUGUUUAAAAUUUGUUAAGCAGUAAGUCUCAUGUUAAGUGUUUUUACC